This 484-nucleotide ribosomal RNA is filed under the name uncultured bacterium. Its description in RNAcentral is "partial 16S ribosomal RNA". It matches the Rfam family "Bacterial small subunit ribosomal RNA", at positions 28 to 523 of the family's 1533-position model. The record is from RNAcentral.
GACGAACGCUGGCGGCGUGCCUAACACAUGCAAGUCGAGCGGGGUCCAUCCGGUGGCAACACCGGUGAAGACCUAGCGGCGAACGGGUGAGUAACACGUGAGAAACCUGCCCCGAAGUCUGGGAUAACCCGGGGAAACCCGAGCUAAUACCGGAUACCCUCAGCUGGUCGCAUGGCCGGCUGCGGAAAGUUUUUCGCUUCGGGAGGGUCUCGCGGCCUAUCAGCUAGUUGGCGGGGUAACGGCCCACCAAGGCGUCGACGGGUAGCUGGUCUGAGAGGGCGAUCAGCCACACUGGGACUGAGACACGGCCCAGACUCCUACGGGAGGCAGCAGUGGGGAAUCUUGCGCAAUGGGCGAAAGCCUGACGCAGCAACGCCGCGUGCGGGAUGAAGGCCUUCGGGUUGUAAACCGCUUUCAGCAGGGAAGAAAAUGACGGUACCUGCAGAAGAAGCCCCGGCCAACUACGUGCCAGCAGCCGCAGUAA